RNAcentral lists this ribosomal RNA (292 nucleotides) under uncultured bacterium. Its description in RNAcentral is "partial 16S ribosomal RNA". It matches the Rfam family "Bacterial small subunit ribosomal RNA", at positions 505 to 796 of the family's 1533-position model. The record is from RNAcentral.
GUGCCAGCCGCCGCGGUAAUACAGAGGGUGCGAGCGUUGUCCGGAAUCACUGGGCGUAAAGGGCGUGUAGGCGGCUGGGUAAGCCGCGUGUGAAAUCCCGGGGCUCAACCCCGGAACGGCACGCGGGACUGCUCGGCUCGAGCAUGGUAGAGGCGAGUGGAAUUCCUGGUGUAGCGGUGGAAUGCGUAGAGAUCAGGAAGAACACCGGUGGCGAAGGCGGCUCGCUGGGCCAUUGCUGACGCUGAGGCGCGAAAGCGUGGGGAGCAAACAGGAUUAGAUACCCCAGUAGUCC